Molecule: ribosomal RNA, 420 nt
Filed under: uncultured bacterium
Lineage: Bacteria
Description: bacterial SSU rRNA
Rfam family: Bacterial small subunit ribosomal RNA
Source: RNAcentral
AGAAUAAUUCACAAUGGACGAAAGUCUGAUGGUGCAACGCCGCGUGGAGGAUGACGGUCCUAGGACUGUAAACUCCUGUCAUCAGGGAGUAAGCCCUGGAGGUUAAUAGCCUACAGGGUUGAUAGUACCUGAAGAGGAAGGGACGGCUACCUUCGUGCCAGCAGCCGCGGUAAUACGAAGGUCCCAAGCGUUGUUCGGAAUCACUGGGCGUAAAGGGAGCGUAGGCUGUGCGGUAAGUCAGAUGUGAAAUCCCGGGGCUCAACCCCGGAACUGCAUCCGAUACUGCCGCACUAGAGGAUUGGAGAGGUAGCUGGAAUUCACGGUGUAGCAGUGAAAUGCGUAGAUAUCGUGAGGAACACCAAUGGCGAAAGCAAGCUACUGGACAACUCCUGACGCUGAGGCUCGAAGGCUAGGGUAGCG